This 927-nucleotide ribosomal RNA is filed under the name Staphylococcus aureus. Its description in RNAcentral is "bacterial SSU rRNA". It matches the Rfam family "Bacterial small subunit ribosomal RNA", at positions 27 to 935 of the family's 1533-position model. The record is from RNAcentral. Lineage: Bacteria; Bacillati; Bacillota; Bacilli; Caryophanales; Staphylococcaceae.
GGAUGAACGCUGGCGGCGUGCCUAAUACAUGCAAGUCGAGCGAACGGACGAGAAGCUUGCUUCUCUGAUGUUAGCGGCGGACGGGUGAGUAACACGUGGAUAACCUACCUAUAAGACUGGGAUAACUUCGGGAAACCGGAGCUAAUACCGGAUAAUAUUUUGAACCGCAUGGUUCAAAAGUGAAAGACGGUCUUGCUGUCACUUAUAGAUGGAUCCGCGCUGCAUUAGCUAGUUGGUAAGGUAACGGCUUACCAAGGCAACGAUGCAUAGCCGACCUGAGAGGGUGAUCGGCCACACUGGAACUGAGACACGGUCCAGACUCCUACGGGAGGCAGCAGUAGGGAAUCUUCCGCAAUGGGCGAAAGCCUGACGGAGCAACGCCGCGUGAGUGAUGAAGGUCUUCGGAUCGUAAAACUCUGUUAUUAGGGAAGAACAUAUGUGUAAGUAACUGUGCACAUCUUGACGGUACCUAAUCAGAAAGCCACGGCUAACUACGUGCCAGCAGCCGCGGUAAUACGUAGGUGGCAAGCGUUAUCCGGAAUUAUUGGGCGUAAAGCGCGCGUAGGCGGUUUUUUAAGUCUGAUGUGAAAGCCCACGGCUCAACCGUGGAGGGUCAUUGGAAACUGGAAAACUUGAGUGCAGAAGAGGAAAGUGGAAUUCCAUGUGUAGCGGUGAAAUGCGCAGAGAUAUGGAGGAACACCAGUGGCGAAGGCGACUUUCUGGUCUGUAACUGACGCUGAUGUGCGAAAGCGUGGGGAUCAAACAGGAUUAGAUACCCUGGUAGUCCACGCCGUAAACGAUGAGUGCUAAGUGUUAGGGGGUUUCCGCCCCUUAGUGCUGCAGCUAACGCAUUAAGCACUCCGCCUGGGGAGUACGACCGCAAGGUUGAAACUCAAAGGAAUUGACGGGGACCCGCACAAGCGGUGG